AGUGAACGCUGGCGGUAGGCAUAACACAUGCAAGUCGAACGGCAGCACAGUAAGAGCUUGCUCUUACGGGUGGCGAGUGGCGGACGGGUGAGGAAUACAUCGGAAUCUACUUUUUCGUGGGGGAUAACGUAGGGAAACUUACGCUAAUACCGCAUACGACCUACGGGUGAAAGCAGGGGAUCUUCGGACCUUGCGCGAUUGAAUGAGCCGAUGUCGGAUUAGCUAGUUGGCGGGGUAAAGGCCCACCAAGGCGACGAUCCGUAGCUGGUCUGAGAGGAUGAUCAGCCACACUGGAACUGAGACACAGUCCAGACUCCUACGGGAGGCAGCAGUGGGGAAUAUUGGACAAUGGGCGCAAGCCUGAUCCAGCCAUACCGCGUGGGUGAAGAAGGCCUUCGGGUUGUAAAGCCCUUUUGUUGGGAAAGAAAAGCAGCAGGUUAAUACCCCGCUGUUCUGACGGUACCCAAAGAAUAAGCACCGGCUAACUUCGUG
This 492-nucleotide ribosomal RNA is filed under the name uncultured bacterium. RNAcentral describes it as "partial 16S ribosomal RNA". It matches the Rfam family "Bacterial small subunit ribosomal RNA", at positions 29 to 507 of the family's 1533-position model. The record is from RNAcentral.